This 623-nucleotide long non-coding RNA is filed under the name Helianthus annuus (common sunflower). RNAcentral describes it as "sRNA HanXRQr2_Chr02g0061881". The record is from RNAcentral. Lineage: Eukaryota; Viridiplantae; Streptophyta; Magnoliopsida; Asterales; Asteraceae.
UGGGCGUGCGAUCGAGAGCAGGAACCAAGGGAAGAGCCAAAACCCUAAUGACCAAAAAUCAUCAAAUUGAAAAGGAGAUCAAGGGCAAAUCGAAUGCAUGGGUUUAGAUACUCUUUAAUCUAAGUGUAUUGAUCAUAAGAUUGUAUGAAUUUGAGUCUGAGUCAUGUCAACAUGAGCACAAAUAAGGAAGUGCCACGGAUAGAAGGUAAACACGGAAGCUAAGUGCAAAUUCGGACGCACGAGGUAUGAAAUCGUCGGGUUCAUGAGGAAUUGAAGCCGGACUUGGAUUAAGAGUAUUUAAGAGAAUGCUUGGAUAAUUCCAUGCUUACAUUAUGGAAUGCUAUGCGAAUUUCAAUUAUAUAGUAUAAUGUUGUAUAGUGAGAUAAUGACUAAUGGUUAAGUCGUAUAUGAUGUCCACAGGUAUCACACGGAUUUCCUCUACCACUAACGAAGAUAAGCGGGCGUAGAUCGAGUCAAAGAACAAGGAUUGUACGGAUAGGACGGCCACCUAGCUUGAAUUAUGUAACGCGCCUUGAAGUAUUAAUUUAAGUAUGAACGUUGUUAAUUCUUUCUAGUAAAAGUUUGCCAUUUUUGUAACUAAGCCUUUUCGUAAGUAAUGUCGU